RNAcentral lists this ribosomal RNA (491 nucleotides) under uncultured bacterium. Its description in RNAcentral is "partial 16S ribosomal RNA". It matches the Rfam family "Bacterial small subunit ribosomal RNA", at positions 29 to 506 of the family's 1533-position model. The record is from RNAcentral.
AGUGAACGCUGGCGGUAGGCCUAACACAUGCAAGUCGAACGGCAGCACAGUAAGAGCUUGCUCUUACGGGUGGCGAGUGGCGGACGGGUGAGGAAUACAUCGGAAUCUACUUUUUCGUGGGGGAUAACGUAGGGAAACUUACGCUAAUACCGCAUACGACCUACGGGUGAAAGCAGGGGAUCUUCGGACCUUGCGCGAUUGAAUGAGCCGAUGUCGGAUUAGCUAGUUGGCGGGGUAAAGGCCCACCAAGGCGACGAUCCGUAGCUGGUCUGAGAGGAUGAUCAGCCACACUGGAACGGGGACACGGCCCAGACCCCUAGGGGAGGCAGCAGUGGGGAAUAUGGGAAAAGGGGGGCAAGCCUGAUCCAGCCAUACCGGGGGGGUGAAGAAGGCCUUCGGGUUGUAAAGCCCUUUUUUGGGGAAAGAAAAGCAGCAGGUUAAUACCCCGCUGUUCUGGCGGUACCAAAAGAAUAAGCACCGGCUAACUUCGU